AGCGAACGCUGGCGGCAGGCCUAACACAUGCAAGUCGAACGAACUCUUCGGAGUUAGUGGCGGACGGGUGAGUAACACGUGGGAACGUGCCUUUUGGUUCGGAAUAACUCAGGGAAACUUGUGCUAAUACCGAAUGUGCCCUUCGGGGGAAAGAUUUAUCGCCAUUAGAGCGGCCCGCGUCUGAUUAGCUAGUUGGUGAGGUAACGGCUCACCAAGGCGACGAUCCGUAGCUGGUCUGAGAGGAUGACCAGCCACACUGGGACUGAGACACGGCCCAGACUCCUACGGGAGGCAGCAGUGGGGAAUCUUGCGCAAUGGGCGAAAGCCUGACGCAGCCAUGCCGCGUGAAUGAUGAAGGUCUUAGGAUUGUAAAAUUCUUUCACCGGGGACGAUAAUGACGGUACCCGGAGAAGAAGCCCCGGCUAACUUCGUG
RNAcentral lists this ribosomal RNA (433 nucleotides) under uncultured bacterium. RNAcentral's name for it is "partial 16S ribosomal RNA". It matches the Rfam family "Bacterial small subunit ribosomal RNA", at positions 29 to 507 of the family's 1533-position model. The record is from RNAcentral.